UUGGAAUUUGUCUUUUGUCUGUUGUAAGAUACCCAAGCGUAUUUAUGCCAGUCUACACAGUAUGUUCUGUUCCCUUAGCUGCUCCAGUGUAAAGCGUCUGUUGCUUUUAAAUCUGGUGACUUUCAGAACACUUUAACAGAAUAUAUUUUCUUGAAAAUAAAGAGAAAGUCAACAGUGUCUUGUAUUAACUCGAUGUCACUGGAGAAGCUGCCUGAGGACCAAGUAUCAUCAGCUGUCCCCAUUCAGUGCAAAUUAAGGGAGAUAACUCAUCCCUGGGACCUUGAGAGAGUUUCAACUUUUUGUUUACAUUUAUGGCGCAUGUUUUUCACAUGCAAAAUAAUAAAUUGGGGAGUGACCUCUAGUCUUACAGUAAUCUUGUGAACUACCCACCUAUACUAGUCUGACUACACUCUGUUGAGCCUUGAGCAUGCUGAUGAGCCUUAAUUGCCCAGAGUAGGCCCGCCUGGGACUACCACCCCACUCACACCCUGCCCAUGGGACCAGGGGUGUACUUACAGCUCAGGCCUGAGCAUCCCUUCUUUCCCGUUGAGCUACAUUGUUAGUGUCUUCAACCCUUAUCUCUACCUCUGUCUCCUGUUGCUCCUGCCUGGACCUGGCUAAUCCCCUGCUAUGGCCGUGUAGGGAGGGACCUGGCUCUGCUUGUUGCGUUCAGGUACGCUGGGGGUGAGGGCAUGGCUGGUGCUGGGGCGGCCCUUGGCUCCCACUUGCACAGUGCGGCUGUCUGGUGCUAUGACCUUGCAGCUUUGUAUCUUAUGUCAUAGUGGGGUAGAGCAAAAGUUUGAGAAAGAGCAUAGGAGUGGAGUAACCAGAAGGAUCUUAUGCUCUAGAAAGGUGUUUGCCCACCUGGUGAGCACACGUGGUACUGGCCCUUCAUUAGGACUUUGUACAGAACGAGCUCAAGACAAAGGACCUUUCUUCUUUUCCGGAUGUUGUAUCCAUUGGGAUUCACCUGAUGCAAUGCUCUGUCAUUAACUCAUCAAAGGGCUGGCUCCUCGGAGCCUCACCAGGAGAAAGCCAGGAGACUAAAACACUGGAAGUCAUCUCUGCGUUUGAAAAGAGAGCAGCAGUCCAAUGGAUUAUGUGACAUGGCAGAUCUUGAAAGCAUAGCACAUAGAGGAAGGGAAGGAUUGUCAUAAAUACAAGGGUAUUUGGCUGUUAUUUUUAGAGUUGUUUGACUGACAGAUAACCAUGCAGCAAUGAUGUGUGUGGGGAGAGCUAGUGAAAUAGUGCUGGAGAUGGUUAUAGUCUGAUGUAACUCCUGCAUGAUGACAAUUCCCUGGCUCAUAGUGAGGCUUUAUCCCUGACAUGCAAUGUUCUACAUGUCAGCUUUCUUUUGUUUUCCAUGGCUUGUUUCUCUUUGCUUUCCACACCAAACAACACUGAACAAAUGAAAAGGAUCCUUUUAUGAGAUGAUUAAUGUCAUUUGUAUUUUUACAUAUUCCACUGUGGAUAUAGGAGAAAUGUACUGUACAGUUGGGCCUGUGGUUGGUGAAAUGGGUACCCACAAAUAGAAGGAAACAGAAUUUAAAACAAAGUCCCCAUUCCUUUCCUCUGGAAGAAUGUAACAGCCUCCCAGCAUGGGACCUCUCUGCGGUGGGUGGGUCACUGGUGUAGAAACCAACUCUUUUUCUACCCCUGUUCUCCAGAUCAAGAGUGACACACUUAGAAAAGGCAAAACAAGCCCAAAGGAAGAAUUCAAAAAGGAAAUGCAUCUUUCUAUGCAGACUCUGUUGAUUUUUCCCUGUACUUCCAUCAGGGUCUCCUCCCCUCUCCUUGGCUCUGGAUAACAGUAAAUAACUAAGACAGUUUUGUUCCAAGAAUUUCCUUUUGCUGACUCAAGACCAAGCCUAUAUCCUUAUUCUGAUGUCUUGAGGAAUACUUAGAUCUUUUACCGGCAUUCUGCACAAGGUUGAAUUUCAUCCCCUGUGACUAUACAGCUGCAUUUAGGGAGAACUGCUGUUAUUGCAUUAAAUCAGUCAGUUCAUGCUCUCCAGAAAGCUCAUCCCCUUUCAAGGGUUUAAAUCCAAGAGGGAAUUCCACUAAUAUUAAAUAACAUUACAGUAUAGGAAGAAUUAGAAUAUUUCUAUCUAUACCCUAUUUAGGAAUAACAAGCAGUAAAUAUGCUACACUAUGCAAGUCCUAAAUUAAGGAGCUGUAAGAAGAAAAUACAUAAAAUAUAGCCCAUAGUAGUGAAACAAAAUUACUAUUAUAAAAGAAUGAUGACAGACUUGUUUUUAAUUAAAAUAACACCUGUUGGAUUAAGUUUCAAAGAAAUGAUCAAAGAAAAUACUGUAGCACUAAACAAGCCUUAUAGUAAGUGUUCAAUAAAUCAAAACCUUUAAAAAUAUUUCA
This 2373-nucleotide long non-coding RNA is filed under the name Anser brachyrhynchus (Pink-footed goose). RNAcentral's name for it is "lncRNA (ENSABRG00000016014.1)". Lineage: Eukaryota; Metazoa; Chordata; Aves; Anseriformes; Anatidae. The record is from RNAcentral.